GCAUGUCUCAGUACAAGCCAAAUUAAGGUGAAACCGCGAAAGGCUCAUUAAAUCAGUUAUGGUUCCUUAGAUCGUACCCACAAUUACUUGGAUAACUGUGGUAAUUCUAGAGCUAAUACAUGCAAACAGAGCUCCGACCGGAGACGGAAGGAGUGCUUUUAUUAGAUCAAAACCAAUCGGUGGCGGGUUCGCUCGUUAUCGUACAACUUGGUGACUCUGAAUAACUUUACGCUGAUCGCACGGUCAUCGCACCGGCGACGCAUCUUUCAAAUGUCUGCCUUAUCAACUGUCGAUGGUAGGUUCUGCGCCUACCAUGGUUGUAACGGGUAACGGGGAAUCAGGGUUCGAUUCCGGAGAGGGAGCCUGAAAAACGGCUACCACAUCCAAGGAAGGCAGCAGGCGCGCAAAUUACCCACUCCCGGCACGGGGAGGUAGUGA
RNAcentral lists this ribosomal RNA (438 nucleotides) under Trigonopterus paracollaris. RNAcentral's name for it is "SSU rRNA". It matches the Rfam family "Eukaryotic small subunit ribosomal RNA", at positions 53 to 470 of the family's 1831-position model. Lineage: Eukaryota; Metazoa; Arthropoda; Insecta; Coleoptera; Curculionidae. The record is from RNAcentral.